CGCACAUUGCGCCCUUUGGUAUUCCGAAGGGCAUGCCUGUUCGAGCGUCAUUAUCACCCCUCGAGCCCCCGUGGCUUGGCUUUGGACGGUCUGGUUAGGCGACUGACCCCUCCUAAAGACAAUGACGGCGGCCUCGCAGGACCCCCGGUACACUGAGCUUCUUAACUGAGCACGUAUCGGAUUGAGGGUUCUCGGGGCCCGGUCUCCUUUCCCCCCUCCCCUCGGGGGCGGUGGAAAACAAUCUUUCUCAGGUUGACCUCGGAUCAGGUAGGGAUACCCGCUGAACUUAA
This 290-nucleotide unclassified non-coding RNA is filed under the name Exophiala moniliae. RNAcentral describes it as "partial contains 5.8S ribosomal RNA, internal transcribed spacer 2, and large subunit ribosomal RNA". Lineage: Eukaryota; Fungi; Ascomycota; Eurotiomycetes; Chaetothyriales; Herpotrichiellaceae. The record is from RNAcentral.